Molecule: ribosomal RNA, 452 nt
Filed under: uncultured bacterium
Lineage: Bacteria
Description: bacterial SSU rRNA
Rfam family: Bacterial small subunit ribosomal RNA
Source: RNAcentral
AGCGAACGCUGGCGGCAGGCUUAACACAUGCAAGUCGAGCGGGCGUAGCAAUACGUCAGCGGCAGACGGGUGAGUAACGCGUGGGAACGUACCUUUUGGUUCGGGAUAACCUAGGGAAACUUGGGCUAAUACCGGAUAAGCCCUUACGGGGAAAGAUUUAUCGCCGAAAGAUCGGCCCGCGUCUGAUUAGCUAGUUGGUGAGGUAACGGCUCACCAAGGCGACGAUCAGUAGCUGGUCCGAGAGGAUGAUCAGCCACAUUGGGACUGAGACACGGCCCAAACUCCUACGGGAGGCAGCAGUGGGGAAUAUUGGACAAUGGGCGCAAGCCUGAUCCAGCCAUGCCGCGUGAGUGAUGAAGGCCCUAGGGUUGUAAAGCUCUUUUGUGCGGGAAGAUAAUGACGGUACCGCAAGAAUAAGCCCCGGCUAACUUCGUGCCAGCCGCCGCGGUAAG